GCCAGCAGCCAUAUCACCUGCAACUGGCAACUCACUGAAGCUAAGCAGGUGUGAGCCUGGUAAGUACCUGGAUGGGAGACUUGCUGAAAAAAACUAAGGUUGCUGCUGGAA
This 111-nucleotide ribosomal RNA is filed under the name Lepisosteus oculatus (spotted gar). The record is from RNAcentral. Lineage: Eukaryota; Metazoa; Chordata; Actinopteri; Semionotiformes; Lepisosteidae.